CUGAAGGCGGCGGAUGAUGAUGAGAGAUGGAAUGAAGGAGGGGGAGAAGGUGUAGGAGGAAGAGAGAGAAACAAAGGGAAGGACAGGAUGGGACGCCGCGGUGAGCCUCUGAGGAGGAGGGAAACUGGGAAUUAAAUGCAAGGCGGCUUCCAACCGAAAAAGAACCAGAAUGAGAAAAGUACAAUUCCCUCGAGAAAGCCAAACUACAAAGUGCUGUGAGUGCAGCUCGAGUGGAAGCAUUUUAAAAUCUUCUGGUGGGCUGAGAACGUUCAUAAACUUCUUUUUCUGCUCGAGCGUUGCCGACUUAAAGAAAGCUCUGUUUGCUCGGGACUCAAAAGGGACCCCGGAGUUCACUGAGGCUUCCCAUGUCCCCCCCACUCACACACUGAUGGGACGGCGGAACAAACUGGACCCUCUUCUGUGUUCUGGUGACACGAGGACAUGGAGACAUCCGGAAGCUCCGGUCCUGAUGGGACGCCUUCAGCCCAAGAGGUCUCUGCUGGACUCCGGCACCGAGCCGGCUCGGGUCCAGUCCUUUGUGGGAGCGACGGCGCACCAAAUAGUGUGUUACAAGUUCCUGGAUUUAAUCUAAACGUUUUUUUUGUCUUUUAGUAGUGAUCUCCAUGGUAUCAGUGGACUUUUACUACUGAUGCAAUAUAUAAUUAUGAUGUUUAUCUAAAACUUUGUAGUGUGUCAAUCAAGCUAAAUUUCCAUUGAAGUAAAUGGACGUUAAGUCACAGUAUAUUUACGGAUAAGGUGGUAACGUAUAUAUGUUCAUGUCCUGUGUAACCAGUAGGCCUCACUGACUACACUAAACAAAUCCAUCGCACGUCACCGGAUGCAGCUAGCCUAGCUUAGCAUAAAGACUGGAACUGAUGAGGACAAUGAAACACCACCAACACGUCUAGAGCUCCGGGCUAAAGGUUGUUCUGGUUACUGAGAGCAUCUAACAAUCAAUGAGAUAUUUAAGCAAGUUAGAAAACCGGCUGAGGGAAUUUAUUCUCGGCUCCUAAGCAACGGCUCCGUCUGCUUCUGCCUCUCGCUGGCUCCGCUUCAAGCCAGCAGAGCGCUCCACAUGUGGACAGGACGCUGUUAGCAUCGCUGGUUAGCAUUGGGCUGUCGUCUUGGUAAUGGUU
Gasterosteus aculeatus aculeatus (three-spined stickleback) is the source of this 1136-nucleotide long non-coding RNA. The record is from Ensembl. NCBI's taxonomy places the organism in Eukaryota, Metazoa, Chordata, Actinopteri, Perciformes, Gasterosteidae.